This 1639-nucleotide long non-coding RNA is filed under the name Lingula anatina. RNAcentral's name for it is "uncharacterized LOC106168923". Lineage: Eukaryota; Metazoa; Brachiopoda; Lingulata; Lingulida; Lingulidae. The record is from RNAcentral.
AAGUCUCCUGCUAGGACAACUUCCAUUGGAACAAUGAAGUCUUGCGCUCUUCUUUCGCUCUUAGAGCUCUUUACCACUGUGUCAUAGAAGAUGAGAAGUUUAAGAAGAGAUACCCAUGGUUAGGGGGAGGCUGCUAUCUACAAUGUAACAAUGGGGGCAUCUGUGUCUUUAACGACGAUGAUGAACCAGUCUGUAGUGUUCCUUGAAUUAGAGCAAACUGCAUACAUUAGUUUAUGACUUAAGAACUGCUGUUGAAGUCACGAAUCCACGGAGGUUUCGGACAUUUUAGAACAGAUGUAUCUCAAAUACUUCCGGAACGACUUCCGGAGUCCAUAUAUGGCAAAGUUGAAGACGGGCACCAACAAAUUAACGGACACAGUGAAGGGGACAAGAUACACGACCGCCUUUCGGAAAGAACUUGGCAGUUUUGCAGACAGUGCCAUCAUGGCCAGGACGACAUCUACCGGUAUGUUUGUCACAACGAACACCAUGAUUAGGAUAAUAAUUACAAUGGUGACUUCUCGGCUAGGUUUGGUGGCGUUUUGGAGUGCGUCCCCGACACGUCUAUCACUGGCCCAAACAGUUACGGGAAUCCGGACAUUGGUGUAUACCAGAAUGCAAAGCGGCACCACAGAAACUAUCACCAGGUGUAGUCCGAACAUGUAGAUUUCAGUAAACAUAGGCCACUUCUUCAGCCUAAUGCGAAAACAUGAGCCUGGAGCAGGACUUUAUGGUGGCAGAUUCAAAUGCUACCUGUCUUGCCAAGUGAAAGAUUGUGAAAAAAAACAUGAGAAGUAUCUGCAAACUCUGUGUCAGUGUUUGACUGCAAGAACUUAUCUUUUUUACUAGUAUUUUUCUUCAUGUCUUGACAUUUCAUUUUCAACAACUUAUUAUUUUUUAACAUAAUAUGCAAUAGCCGUAUUUAUUUAUUUAUUUUUAUUCAUUUAUUUAUUAAAGUUCUGCUCUUUUAAUUUACGGUUUCAUGUUUCAUGUUGAAUAAGAUGAGAAGUUUAAGAAGAGAUAUCCAUGGUGAGGGGGAGACCGUUACUUUCAAUGUAAGAAUGGAAGCACCUGCGUCUUUCACGAUGAUGAACCAGUCUGUAGCUGUAGAAGUGGUUUCGGUGGAAAAUAGUGCAUUACGCAGCUGACCAAUGAAUGCCGUAAAAAGUGCGCCAUCGGUGGCGCGUGCGUGAUGACCUUGAUUGGCCACUACGGCCAAUGUCCAGAUGGCUACAGCCUGAAAUUUUGCAACUUUUCCUUUUUUGGAAGUGUUAUAGCAACAAAGUAGAAUUUUUCUAAAUAAAUUAAGCUGAAUUUCUCAAAAAAAGUUAUUUUGACAUAUUUUCACUUUUUCUGUUUAGUCUUUAAUCACGAGGCACUGGGGUGAAUAGUAUUUAAUUUGUAUUUGGACAUCACAUUAAAGAAGUGGUUAAAAUGCAAGGAAUAUAACUGUAGUCAGUAUUUGUACACGAGGAAUUUGACAAAUAAUGCAAAAGAAAUCAUAGUGCAGGAAACAUUUUGGAACUCGAAAUGCAUUGGCGAGUUUUCUGUGUACAAUAUUUUUCCUUAAUUUAAUUGAAAAAAUACUAUAACUGAAGCUAAUGUAUCCCGUUCUAAUAAAGCAAACUAAAUCAGACUA